AUUGAACGCUGGCGGCAGGCCUAACACAUGCAAGUCGAGCGGAUGAAGGGAGCUUGCUCCUGGAUUCAGCGGCGGACGGGUGAGUAAUGCCUAGGAAUCUGCCUGGUAGUGGGGGAUAACGUCCGGAAACGGGCGCUAAUACCGCAUACGUCCUGAGGGAGAAAGUGGGGGAUCUUCGGACCUCACGCUAUCAGAUGAGCCUAGGUCGGAUUAGCUAGUUGGUGGGGUAAAGGCCUACCAAGGCGACGAUCCGUAACUGGUCUGAGAGGAUGAUCAGUCACACUGGAACUGAGACACGGUCCAGACUCCUACGGGGGGCAGCAGUGGGGAAUAUUGGACAAUGGGCGAAAGCCUGAUCCAGCCAUGCCGCGUGUGUGAAGAAGGUCUUCGGAUUGUAAAGCACUUUAAGUUGGGAGGAAGGGCAGUAAGUUAAUACCUUGCUGUUUGGACGUUACCAGCAGAAUAAGCACCGGCUAACUUCGG
This 483-nucleotide ribosomal RNA is filed under the name uncultured bacterium. Its description in RNAcentral is "partial 16S ribosomal RNA". It matches the Rfam family "Bacterial small subunit ribosomal RNA", at positions 30 to 506 of the family's 1533-position model. The record is from RNAcentral.